Molecule: transfer RNA, 67 nt
Filed under: Echinostomatidae sp. MSB para 30070
Lineage: Eukaryota; Metazoa; Platyhelminthes; Trematoda; Plagiorchiida; Echinostomatidae
Description: tRNA-Gln
Source: RNAcentral
UGUAAUCGGGUGUAUAUAAGUAGCAUAUUAUGUUUUGGUCAUAGGGGAAAUUAGAAGUUGAUUACAA